CCUGUCCCAGGCACCCACCCUGGCCCCGCCCCGGAGGCCCUGCCCCCUCCUUGCAGGGCCCGCAGCGUCCCUGAGCUCCCACAGUCCUGAAUUCCAGCUCCAAGGGGACACGGGCAGGGCCCGAGGCCCCAACGGGGAAACACCAAGACUUGGUGACGGCAGCACACGACAGGGUCUGCGUUUCCUUCCUCAAAUGCUUCUCAAGCUCGGCUCCACAUCUGCCUCGUGAAGGAAGAUUUAAAAAUCUCACUGACCUGGCCCCACCUCCUCUGAACUAGAUCGGAACAUCAAGAGGCUAUACACCGUGAACCAGCUGGGGCCCCGAGACCGGGGGUAGGAGCUUCGCUGCAAUCUCCACGAGCAGGUUCAGCUAGAGACAGUGACCCACACACGGACUGAGAAUGAGGUGACGCAGGGGGCCACGGCCAGCUCUGGGAGCUUAAUAAUACAGUCGUAAAUAAAGGUCAUAAUAAUA
Felis catus (domestic cat) is the source of this 475-nucleotide long non-coding RNA. RefSeq lists it as uncharacterized. The record is from RefSeq and is a predicted model, not a curated record. The transcript has 4 exons. Lineage: Eukaryota; Metazoa; Chordata; Mammalia; Carnivora; Felidae.